RNAcentral lists this ribosomal RNA (492 nucleotides) under uncultured bacterium. RNAcentral's name for it is "partial 16S ribosomal RNA". It matches the Rfam family "Bacterial small subunit ribosomal RNA", at positions 31 to 507 of the family's 1533-position model. The record is from RNAcentral.
GAACGCUGGCGGCGUGCCUAAUACAUGCAAGUAGAACGCUGAAGGAGGAGCUUGCUUCUCUGGAUGAGUUGCGAACGGGUGAGUAACGCGUAGGUAACCUGCCUGGUAGCGGGGGAUAACUAUUGGAAACGAUAGCUAAUACCGCAUAAUAGUAGAUGUUGCAUGACAUUUGCUUAAAAGGUGCAAUUGCAUCACUACCAGAUGGACCUGCGUUGUAUUAGCUAGUUGGUGGGGUAACGGCUCACCAAGGCGACGAUACAUAGCCGACCUGAGAGGGUGAUCGGCCACACUGGGACUGAGACACGGCCCAGACUCCUACGGGAGGCAGCAGUAGGGAAUCUUCGGCAAUGGACGGAAGUCUGACCGAGCAACGCCGCGUGAGUGAAGAAGGUUUUCGGAUCGUAAAGCUCUGUUGUAAGAGAAGAACGAGUGUGAGAGUGGAAAGUUCACACUGUGACGGUAUCUUACCAGAAAGGGACGGCUAACUACGUG